CCCCGUCCACGCCAGCCCGCCCGGCGGGGCCUCCCUGCGGCAGAUUCAUGGUGUUUCUACUCAGUCUGCAUCUGGUACAACAUAGGUCUUUCUGAGACUGCACAUACACUUCUUGAGAACGUUGUUCCUGAGAGAAGCAGCUGAUGAGUAUUUUUGCUUCACCAGACUGUGAUCAGAGGAUACAAAGAGAAGGUGCCAUCAUGUGAAUGCGAAACAGCUAAAUGAGAAACAGGACACCUGGGAAGGCUGAGCUGAAACUGCUUGGGCACAGGAUGACAAACUGAUUUGCUGUUGGAGACAAGAUUCAGGAAACCUCGCUCCUCCAAAAGACUUUCCUGAGUGAGAGGAGAGGAACAGGAGGAAGCACACAAAAGAGCGAUGGGAAUUGAGGGCCAUGGUUACUUGAGAUAAAUGGCAGAUCCCUGGGAGUCUAGCCUUGUAGCUGUUUGCUUUAGCUUUGUCUCUCUCCGCAGCUGCUCUUUCUUUUUUGAGAGCUGCUGCUGGAUACUGCCACGGCGGCACUGGAGAUUUCAAGAGCAACGUGGGUGCAGAGUGUGAG
Molecule: long non-coding RNA, 559 nt
Organism: Gymnogyps californianus (California condor)
Lineage: Eukaryota; Metazoa; Chordata; Aves; Accipitriformes; Cathartidae
Exons: 4
Source: RefSeq, a predicted model, not a curated record